This is a non-coding RNA of Pelobates cultripes (western spadefoot toad), 217 nucleotides long. Lineage: Eukaryota; Metazoa; Chordata; Amphibia; Anura; Pelobatidae. The record is from the annotation of a GenBank genome assembly.
GGGAGAGAGACACACACACACAUCCUAUGGAUUGAGGGAGAGAGACACACACAUCCUAUGGAUUGAGGGAGAGAGACACACACACAUCCUAUGGAUUGAGGGAGAGAGACACACACACAUCCUAUGGAUUGAGGGAGAGAGAGACACACACAUUAUAUGAAUGCAUGGAGGGAGAGAGAGACACACACAUCCUUUGGAUGGAGGGAGAGAGAGACAC